Non-coding RNA from Oryctolagus cuniculus (rabbit), 604 nucleotides. NCBI's taxonomy places the organism in Eukaryota, Metazoa, Chordata, Mammalia, Lagomorpha, Leporidae. The record is from RefSeq and is a predicted model, not a curated record.
GUUUUCCCCUCUCGGUACAACCAGGUCCACACACUCACCAUGUCGCGGUUGUCAGUUUCCUAGCUGCCCAGCGUUCCCGGUGAGUGAAGGUGGAGAGCUGCAGAGGUCGACCUCGCUUGGGAGCCUCCUGGCGGCGGAGCUGUCUCCCAGGAGUUCACUCUGCAGGCAAAACUCUGAGAAGAUUGUGACGUCCAGGCCCCGCGUGCUGAUGCACUGUGGACGUCACCUUGCCUGAUUGGACAGUUUGCCAGCCUUGAGUGCACGGAACGUCACAAAGCACGGAGCCAAUCAGCGUCCCCCAUAGCAAGGACCCCUAACUUCAAGUUGUCCUGGAUGGGAACAGCGAGAGACAGACCUGGGUUCAGGUCUGAAAUGGCCGCCCCUGGGCUCCGCCUCCCCGCGGCUGGAGGGCUCUCACCUCCGAGCUCCUGCUACCCACUGGCCUCGCCCUGGGUCCCCGUCCUUCUCCCUGCGGAUGCUGCCUGGAGCUGGCGGUAACCUGUUGCACUACAAGAUAGGACGAAUCAAGGAGGAGCUAGGGCAUAAAAGUUCAAGUUCACCCAAAUCUUUGCCGGCAUUUGGAUUUACCAGGUUCAACUUUUUU